AUUGAACGCUGGCGGCAGGCCUAACACAUGCAAGUCGAACGGUAACAGGAAGAAGCUUGCUUCUUUGCUGACGAGUGGCGGACGGGUGAGUAAUGUCUGGGAAACUGCCUGAUGGAGGGGGAUAACUACUGGAAACGGUAGCUAAUACCGCAUAACGUCGCAAGACCAAAGAGGGGGACCUUCGGGCCUCUUGCCAUCGGAUGUGCCCAGAUGGGAUUAGCUAGUAGGUGGGGUAACGGCUCACCUAGGCGACGAUCCCUAGCUGGUCUGAGAGGUUGACCAGCCACACUGGAACUGAGACACGGUCCAGACUCCUACGGGAGGCAGCAGUGGGGAAUAUUGCACAAUGGGCGCAAGCCUGAUGCAGCCAUGCCGCGUGUAUGAAGAAGGCCUUCGGGUUGUAAAGUACUUUCAGCGGGGAGGAAGGGAGUAAAGUUAAUACCUUUGCUCAUUGACGUUACCCGCAGAAGAAGCACCGGCUAACUCCGUG
RNAcentral lists this ribosomal RNA (490 nucleotides) under uncultured bacterium. Its description in RNAcentral is "partial 16S ribosomal RNA". It matches the Rfam family "Bacterial small subunit ribosomal RNA", at positions 30 to 507 of the family's 1533-position model. The record is from RNAcentral.